ACACUGGUGAGGAGUCCCACAAUAGGACGAAACGGCCGUCCAGUAU
This 46-nucleotide non-coding RNA is filed under the name Schistosoma margrebowiei. Lineage: Eukaryota; Metazoa; Platyhelminthes; Trematoda; Strigeidida; Schistosomatidae. The record is from RNAcentral.